Molecule: ribosomal RNA, 482 nt
Filed under: uncultured bacterium
Lineage: Bacteria
Description: partial 16S ribosomal RNA
Rfam family: Bacterial small subunit ribosomal RNA
Source: RNAcentral
AUUGAACGCUGGCGGCAUGCUUUACACAUGCAAGUCGAACGGUAACAGGCCGCAAGGUGCUGACGAGUGGCGAACGGGUGAGUAAUGCAUCGGAACGUGCCCAGUCGUGGGGGAUAACUACUCGAAAGAGUAGCUAAUACCGCAUACGAUCUAUGGAUGAAAGCGGGGGACCGUAAGGCCUCGCGCGAUUGGAGCGGCCGAUGUCAGAUUAGGUAGUUGGUGGGGUAAAGGCUCACCAAGCCAACGAUCUGUAGCUGGUCUGAGAGGACGACCAGCCACACUGGGACUGAGACACGGCCCAGACUCCUACGGGAGGCAGCAGUGGGGAAUUUUGGACAAUGGGCGAAAGCCUGAUCCAGCAAUGCCGCGUGCAGGAAGAAGGCCUUCGGGUUGUAAACUGCUUUUGUACGGAACGAAACGGCUCUGGUUAAUACCCGGGGCUAAUGACGGUACCGUAAGAAUAAGCACCGGCUAACUACGUG